AGUGAACGCUGGCGGCAGGCCUAACACAUGCAAGUCGAACGGCAGCACCGUAAGAGCUUGCUCUUACGGGUGGCGAGUGGCGGACGGGUGAGGAAUACAUCGGAAUCUACUUUUUCGUGGGGGAUAACGUAGGGAAACUUACGCUAAUACCGCAUACGACCUACGGGUGAAAGCAGGGGAUCUUCGGACCUUGCGCGAUUGAAUGAGCCGAUGUCGGAUUAGCUAGUUGGCGGGGUAAAGGCCCACCAAGGCGACGAUCCGUAGCUGGCCUGAGAGGAUGGUCAGCCACACUGGAACUGAGACACGGUCCAGACUCCGACGGGAGGCAGCAGUGGGGAAUAUUGGGCAAUGGGCGCAAGCCUGAUCCAGCCCUACCGCGUGGGUGAAGAAGGCCUCCGGGUUGUAAAGCCCUUUUGUUGGGAAAGAAAAGCAGCAGGUUAAUACCCCACUGUUCUGACGGUACCCAAAGAAUAAGCACCGGCUAACUUCGUG
This 492-nucleotide ribosomal RNA is filed under the name uncultured bacterium. RNAcentral describes it as "partial 16S ribosomal RNA". It matches the Rfam family "Bacterial small subunit ribosomal RNA", at positions 29 to 507 of the family's 1533-position model. The record is from RNAcentral.